UAAAGAACUGUUCUCCUUUAUCUUCUAGGAAUGUCAAAAGUUCCCUCUUGGCUGCGCCUCAGUUGAUUUAACUUCUCUAGAGAGUUUGCUCUGGGUGCCUGAUGCUAUCUAAGUUCCCAACCCACUGACAUCUAAAAAGAUAAGCGAAUUCCUUAGCUUCGGUAUUUGAGCACAAGAGAAUUCUCUGGAGAACUAGCAAUGUAAUCAUGGCAUAUCUGCCAGAAUUGACAAGAGGGAUGAAAGGCUUACUUCAAUGUUUGCAUGGUUCCUGUGCUUCAACAUAUUGAGUAUGAAGCAAAUUUUAAAGAUGAGGCAGCCGAAGCAAGGAGGUGUAAAUGACUGGCUUAGGGUCACCGAACUGCUAUAUGAGGAGAAAGUGUUUUCCUUAGAGGACUCAAAUUCACAACAGUGCCUUAUGGAGACACAAUCAAAAUGAAGAAGAAAAGUGACACAAUUUGAGGGAUAAUUCAAAGUCCAGGGAUUACCGAGGUGAUCUACUUCUUAGAAAUGAUUAAGAAGACCUAAGUUUCAUUUCCUGGAAAGGUGAAUUUUUCCCAUUAAAGAUGUAAUUAUUCAAUCAAGAUAUUUUGACUUUUCCAUGUAGACUAAUUGUAGAAUAAACACAUUGUACUUACAUGCCA
Molecule: long non-coding RNA, 641 nt
Filed under: Monodelphis domestica (gray short-tailed opossum)
Lineage: Eukaryota; Metazoa; Chordata; Mammalia; Didelphimorphia; Didelphidae
Description: lncRNA (ENSMODG00000032493.2)
Source: RNAcentral